AUGCCUCGUUUCAUGUGGAUUGUGUUGUUGAGGUCAAAGGACGAAGUUUUUGCUGCUGUUCAGAAGUUUCAGGCCGCAUCCGAGUUGGAAUCAGGUUGCAAGCUGAAGGUUUUGAGGACUGAUCGUGGGGGCGAGUUCACCUCAAAUCAGUUCGUUGAAUACUGUGAGGAAUUGGGUGUAAACCACCACUUGACAGCGCCAUAUUCCCCGCAGCAAAACGGUGUAGUGGAGCGUCGAAAUCAAACAGUGGUAGGUAUGACCAGGAGCUUGCUGAAAAGUAUGAAGGUACCGGCCAAAUUUUGGGGUGAAGCGGCUACAACGGCGGUGUAUUUGUUAAACCGUGCUACCACAAAGAGUGUUAGUGGUGUGACUCCAUACGAAGCAUGGUACAGGAAGAAGCCAAGUGUUCAGCACCUACGCACUUUCGGGUGUGUUGGACAUGUGAAGAAAGUAGGUGGGCAUCUCCCCAAUUUGGCUGAUAGGAGCUCUCCCAUGGUGUUCAUUGGUUAUGAAGCAAAAUCCAAGGCGUACCGCAUGUAUGAUCCAGAAACUCAGAAGCUACAUGUGUCAAGAGACGUUGUGUUUGAUGAGCAAAGACAGUGGGAUUGGUCGAGCAAAGGGGCAGAGCAGCAGGCGAAUGAAGCCGCGUGGAGCACCUUCUCAAUUGGACUGGACAGUGAAACUCCUGCCGUGGCAACAGAAUCAUCAGGGAAAAACAAUGUCGUGACAGCAGGAACUCCAGUCAGAACCACUGCCGUGGUAGCAGAAACUGCAGCAAGAACCCCUGCCACGGCAGUGAAAUCUCCUAUUUUUGAGACUCCUUCGCCAACACUUCCUGGACUUGGUUCCAUUGGGUCGCAGGGCACUACCAGCACCUCAAGCUCGUCCGUGGGACCCCAAGGGAAGCGGUUUUUGGAAGAAAUAUAUGAUGAAACCAACGAGAUGCAGCUUGAGUACUCCGGGCUGUGUUUGAUGGGUAUGGAGGAGCCGACGACAUUCCAGGAAGCUGAGAAAAAGGCAUGUUGGCAGCAAGCUAUGAAAGAGGAGCUCGAGUCCAUUGCGAGCAAUCAGGCUUGGCAACUUGUGAAGCUUCCACGAGGUCAGACAGAAAUUGGUCUCAAAUGGGUGUUCAAGUUGAAGAAAGACACCGAAGGAAAUGUGGUAAAGCACAAAGCAAGGUUAGUAGCAAAGGGAUAUGUGCAAAGGCAAGGCAUAGACUUUGAUGAAGUAUUUGCUCAUGUUGCACGGAUAGAAACCAUGCGUCUCCUAAUCGCAUUAGCAGCUCAUAUGGAUUGGGAAAUCCAUCACAUCGAUGUGAAAUCUGCUUUCUUGAAUGGAGAACUUAAAGAGGAGGUUUAUGUGUCACAACCUCCUGGUUUUGCUGUCAAGGGAGAAGAGAACAAGGUCUACAAGCUGCACAAAGCCCUCUAUGGUCUGCACCAAGCCCCUCGUGCUUGGAAUGCAAAGUUGGAUGCUACUCUCCAAGCUUUGGGUUUUGAAAAAUGUCCAACCGAGCAUGUUGUUUACAAGAAGUCGGGAGGUAAUUCAGGUCUUCUUGUUGGUGUUUAUGUUGAUGAUUUGAUCAUUACCGGAGGCAGCAAGACUGAGAUAGAAGCAUUCAAGUCACAAAUGAAGAAAGAAUUCAAGAUGAGUGACCUCGGUUUGUUGAGUUUUUACCUUGGGAUUGAAGUGAAACAAGGCCCUAAUGGUACAACUCUCUCUCAAUCUGCUUAUGCUCGGAAAAUUUUGGAGAAGCGCCAAAUGGAAAAUUGCAACCCCUCUCCGACAUCGAUGGAACAACGACUGAAGAUAAGAAAAGUAAGUGAUGCUCCACUCGUUGAUUCCACAUAUUAUCGCAGCAUUGUUGGUAGUCUGCGAUACCUUGUGCAUACACGGCCAGAUAUAUGUUAUGCAGUUGGUAUAGUAAGUCGUUUCAUGGAGAGACCCACGUCGGAGCACAUGGCAGCGGUGAGGCACAUUCUCAGGUAUGUGCGAGGUACUUUGGACUUGGGCUGUAUGUACAAGAAGGGUGGAAAUGGAAAACUGAUUGGGUACAGCAAUAGUGAUCAUGCCGGAGACUUGGAUACUAGGAAAAGUACUUCUGGUGUGUUGUUCUAUCUUGGUGAAAACCCGGUCAGCUGGUCCUCACAGAAGCAAAAGAUUGUGACCCUUUCUUCAUGUGAGGCUGAGUAUGUUGCUGCUACGGCAGCGACAUGUCAAGGUAUUUGGUUGGUGAGGCUGCUCGCGAACCUGUUGGGAAGAGAGACAGAUAAGGUGGUGCUGAAGGUUGAUAAUAAGUCAGCGAUCUCACUCAGCAAAAAUCCGGUCUUUCACGAUAGAAGCAAACACAUUGAUUUGAGAUAUCAUUUUGUGAGAGAGAAGGUGGAGACUGGUGACAUUGAUAUUGAGCAUGUGCGAACUGAUGAUCAGUUGGCCGACAUCUUGACUAAGUCAUUGGGGCGAGUGAAGUUUCAGGAGAUGAGGAAGAAGCUGGGGUCACGGCAGUGA
This 2508-nucleotide ribosomal RNA is filed under the name Triticum aestivum (bread wheat). RNAcentral describes it as "partial small subunit ribosomal RNA". Lineage: Eukaryota; Viridiplantae; Streptophyta; Magnoliopsida; Poales; Poaceae. The record is from RNAcentral.